RNAcentral lists this small RNA (26 nucleotides) under Bombyx mori (domestic silkworm). RNAcentral describes it as "ovarian small RNA-29963". Lineage: Eukaryota; Metazoa; Arthropoda; Insecta; Lepidoptera; Bombycidae. The record is from RNAcentral.
UCUGAUGGUCCUCUGAUGGAUGCGGC